CAGACUGGGCUCAAGGGGUGGUUAGAUGGAGGGAAGAAAAGGCAUGCACAGGCACUGGUCUGGUGCACUUCGGUGACCCAGAACACAGGUACGGAUGGCCAAGCAAUCAGCUCAGCUCACUGAUGCUAAUUUUGGUAGCUUCACUGCUCCUGCUCCAUUAUAGCCUAUGUGCUGACCAAUAUUUUUGCAGCGUAGGAGUAUGUGAUAUUAAACAAAUCAUGUGCAUACAUUUCGUGAUAAAUACGUGCCUAAACGGGGACGUUCUGCCAUUCGCGCUAAUACGAUUUUUCUAAACAUAAUAUGAACCGGAGGCACCGAGGGAUGAUAUACUGAUUAUAUAUUCCUGGCUAUUUUGCAGAUUGCUGCUUCUGGCGGGUUGUGGUUAGUAAAAAAAGCGUGACAAGGAUCUGGUUGGUAGGUUGAUCACAAGUUGUUGCCCGUUGUCACUGCCCAACGAAGCGUCACGGCGCUGCGCUCUCGAGUGAACUAUAGCUUGUUGGCCUUCCCGGCUUCCCCUGCUGUUGGUUAAUCUUGUUGGCCUUCCCCUGCUGUUGCUGGUUAAUCUUUUAUUAAAUUAUUAUAUCUAUGAGGCGAAAGCUGUUAGCUAAUCUAAUGAUGGCCCAUGCAGGGAUGCAGAUGCAUUCAGACCGAGAUAAUUUUGUCUAUAACAAUUUAAAAAAAGUUUGCAAGAUCAAACAAGGUAUCGACCCUGGCUGUUUCCUCAGGUGGUGCUGGCAUGGUGCGUGACUUUGCAAUAGUGGGACUAUGAGAUGUCACAUCAGUGCGGGAUUCAAGCUGCUAACUCCUCCGUAGGUAAGUCAUUCUUAAGGAGUUGGUACACGGAAUUUGCG
Molecule: long non-coding RNA, 851 nt
Filed under: Setaria italica (foxtail millet)
Lineage: Eukaryota; Viridiplantae; Streptophyta; Magnoliopsida; Poales; Poaceae
Description: long non-coding RNA (SITA_LNC004133)
Source: RNAcentral